This 504-nucleotide ribosomal RNA is filed under the name uncultured bacterium. Its description in RNAcentral is "partial 16S ribosomal RNA". It matches the Rfam family "Bacterial small subunit ribosomal RNA", at positions 30 to 523 of the family's 1533-position model. The record is from RNAcentral.
AUUGAACGCUGGCGGCAGGCCUAACACAUGCAAGUCGAACGGUAGCACAGAGAGCUUGCUCUCGGGUGACGAGUGGCGGACGGGUGAGUAAUGUCUGGGAAACUGCCUGAUGGAGGGGGAUAACUACUGGAAACGGUAGCUAAUACCGCAUAACGUCGCAAGACCAAAGAGGGGGACCUUCGGGCCUCUUGCCAUCAGAUGUGCCCAGAUGGGAUUAGCUAGUAGGUGGGGUAACGGCUCACCUAGGCGACGAUCCCUAGCUGGUCUGAGAGGAUGACCAGCCACACUGGAACUGAGACACGGUCCAGACUCCUACGGGAGGCAGCAGUGGGGAAUAUUGCACAAUGGGCGCAAGCCUGAUGCAGCCAUGCCGCGUGUAUGAAGAAGGCCUUCGGGUUGUAAAGUACUUUCAGCGGGGAGGAAGGGAGUAAAGUUAAUACCUUUGCUCAUUGACGUUACCCGCAGAAGAAGCACCGGCUAACUCCGUGCCAGCAGCCGCCGUAA